RNAcentral lists this unclassified non-coding RNA (161 nucleotides) under soil metagenome. RNAcentral describes it as "partial internal transcribed spacer 1". The record is from RNAcentral.
UAGAGUUGCAAAACUCCCUUUACACCAUUGUGGACGAGCUUGAUAGGUGCUCUGUCAGGCCGAAGGUUUUAGGCCCUUAGAACGGCCUGCCGUACGUCUGUCAGAGUGUCCUGAAACUCUUAUAUUGUUGGCAUCUUCUGAGGAACUUAUUUAAUAAGUCA